GUGAAGAAGGCCUGCCGGUUGUAAAGCACUUUCAAUUGUGAAGAAAAGCUUGGGGAUAAUACCCCCGAGUCUUGACGUUAACUUUAGAAGAAACACCGGCUAACUCUGUGCCAGCAGCCGCGGUAAUAC
Molecule: ribosomal RNA, 129 nt
Filed under: bacterium enrichment culture clone 4/04bandN
Lineage: Bacteria
Description: partial 16S ribosomal RNA
Rfam family: Bacterial small subunit ribosomal RNA
Source: RNAcentral